Molecule: non-coding RNA, 363 nt
Organism: Alexandromys fortis (reed vole)
Lineage: Eukaryota; Metazoa; Chordata; Mammalia; Rodentia; Cricetidae
Source: the annotation of a RefSeq genome assembly
AUGGAGUGGGUGUGGAGGCUCCUUUUCCUGUUUGCAGCUGUCCAAAGUGUUCAAGCAGAGGCUCUGCUUGUACAGUCUGGAUCUGAACUGAAGCAGCCUGGGCAGUCAGUGAAGAUCUCCUGCAAGGCUUCAGGUUAUACCUUCACAGACUAUGCUAUGAGCUGGGUAAAGCAGGAACCUGGACAGCCACUAAAGUGGAUGGGCUAUAUUACUACAGACACUGGGACCCCAAACUAUGCUGAUGACUUCAAAGGACGGUUUGUCUUCUCUUUGGACACCUCUGUCAGCACUGCAUAUCUGCAGAUUAAUAGCCUCAAGAAUGAAGACUCAGCCAUGUAUUACUGUGCUAGACACACAGUGUGA